RNAcentral lists this ribosomal RNA (253 nucleotides) under uncultured bacterium. RNAcentral's name for it is "partial 16S ribosomal RNA". It matches the Rfam family "Bacterial small subunit ribosomal RNA", at positions 524 to 776 of the family's 1533-position model. The record is from RNAcentral.
UACGUAGGGUGCAAGCGUUGUCCGGAAUUAUUGGGCGUAAAGAGCUCGUAGGCGGUUUGUCGCGUCUGCCGUGAAAGUCCGGGGCUCAACUCCGGAUCUGCGGUGGGUACGGGCAGACUAGAGUGAUGUAGGGGAGACUGGAAUUCCUGGUGUAGCGGUGAAAUGCGCAGAUAUCAGGAGGAACACCGGUGGCGAAGGCGGAUCUCUGGGCCAUUACUGACGCUGAGGAGCGAAAGCGUGGGGAGCGAACGGG